AUUGUAGAAGAUGUGAUGGAAUGGGGUCAAGAGGGCAGGUGGUCGGACGGGCAGAUGUUACUAGCUUCAAGCCCUUAAAGAAAUUGAGGUUUUGCUGGUAGUAAUGAAAAAUAUUUAAACCAAACAGCUUUGGCACAGCUAUCCUUUUGUGGAGAAAAUGUUAUUCUCACUGAAGAGAUUCAAUGCAUGAUGGAUGUUUGGUAUUUAUUGGCAUUUAUCUUCACCUCCAUGGAAUACGAUUUAGGGAUUACAUAGAACAUAUUCUCACUCACUGAUUGAAGGAGUAAAAACCAGAAACAAUAGUUUCUUUGGAAAUGCUGAUGUGCUCUCCUGGUAUGGAUAGUCUAAUAUUUGCACAGAGGGAUUCUUAAACAUCCCGCAGGUUACGGCCAUUGGGUGGAAGUUGAUGGAUGUGGUAUGGCGCCUCCAGCUGUCGCUAAACAACCACCGCAUCUCACCACCAAAUCCAUGGCAACACAGCCGGAGCUGCGUCCAGGCUGUCAGUGGUAGAAAUCCCGUUGGGGGGAGGCUGCACAACGUGUUGUAUAAGUUAUUGGCUUAUUAUUGCUGUUUAGUUUCAUUUACAGUGUUACCUCUCUAAAUUAGGAGUCACUCUUGUUUAAAUGUUUUAUGUGUGAAAUUUUUGCAGCUCAAUAUCUCUGCUUCUUCAGGCUGAAUCUUUUUUUGGGAGCGCUUUCUCAUGUUUUAUAGCUCAAUUCAGCCCCAAAGGACUAAUAGGACAGGUUAAUGAGAAAAAUCUCCCCAUGCCUCUGGACUACAAAUAAAAUACCAAUUAACUUGUUUCCUAAAGAAGAGACGAACAUUAUGUUUUGCUGUCUGUUUGCUGUCCUUACUGAUGUUUGGUAUUUGAGUCCACCUUUUUGGGUUAAGGACAGCAUUGAAGUCACAACAAUGGACCUGCAGGUGUGCUGUGGACUGACACAGUGCAGGAUUUGUUCUUGCGAGCGGCAUGUUUUGUCUUCUUCCUGGUUUCAGUUGAUAUAGCCUCAGACUCAUCCAUGCGGGCAAACAAAAUCCUUCUCCAUUCACUGAGGAGCUUUUGAUAUUUCAGUGGCUAUGUCCUGCAUGUUUGCUUUGGAGCUGGUUUUUGUGGCGGCUGGUUUGACGUUUUAGAUAUUUGGCUUGUUUAUUGUUGUGGAUUAACAAUACACAAGUUGGGAUGGUUUGAUUUCCACUUUUUCUUUUGCAGUUUCAGACACCAGUGUCGCCGGCAUUGCCCCCAGAGUACCUACGAAGACUGGGGUAGGGGUUUGUGUCUGCUGUGUCCUGCACCGUGCACAGACUGCAGGGGCAAGACGCGCUGUCUAGCCUGCCAGACCGGUUACUUCCUCAACGGAAGAGACUGUUUAAAACAGUGCCCGUAGCAGACCUUCAGUGACUCCAGUGGGUGGUUCUGCCAGUCCUGCCACACCUCCUGCCAGCCAUGCCACGGCCCGCGGGCGACCAACUGCGACCUGUGUCUCGGUGGGAACCCUCCUGUGCACGGCCAGUGCCCUCCGGUCAACUGCCUGCUGGGACCGUACUAUGACAGUAAGAGGAACAACCAACUGCAAAUGUGAUUAAAGCAAAUUGAUCAAGACCCGAGUAUCAGGUGAGAGGGGAGCCAGAGAUUGAACCAAAUGGCAUGAUGCUUGACUAGUUCAUUCCUGCAUGGAAAUAAUAGUUUUUCUCCUAUUAGAGGCUAGAAUGGUGUUCCAGGAAUGGGGUGGGAUUCAGUGUGUGGUUCAAGGACGCGUUAGCGUCGUGGAUGCUUGCCGCUGAGGCGGUAGCUUGGACCCCUGCUGGAGGACCUAAAGGCUGAAGGACGCUCACUGUGUCACACUGGCUCACCCGCACUACCUCACCUCUCAUUCUAAAGCCAUUUUAGUGUAGUGUGUUUCAAAAAGCUUCUCUGCCUCAAGCACUCGGCUCUUCAACUGUUUCCCCUGUGGCGUCUGGCUCGACAGAAUUAGAAUAUCACACUCGGUUGUCGUCAGCCAUACGGGGUAAUCGGGCAGAUCAGUUACUUAUUAAAAAAUAUUUUUUGAUAUGGUUUGGUAAAAUCUAUUUUUACAUUCCAAUUAUAUCUGAACUCAUAUUUGUGUAGUACAGAUAUUAUUAAAAAGCUCAGUUAAUCCCACUUGAAACCCUUAUGCCUUGUACACAGUUCCUACUCCCAUGCAUAUAGAGUAGGAAUUGUAAGUAAACAUGAGCAGUUCUAUGCAAUAAUGGAUUAUUUCGCGGCUUCCCUGUUGUGAAUAACUGGUAAUAUUAUGCAGGUUUCACCUACCUGAACCGCAUCCAUCAUUUGUGCCUCAAUAACACGUAUUAUUGAAAUUCAUUACUAUGCUUCCCUCUAGUGGUAAAAGUGGGUAAAGCAGAGAAUUCUGCAGUUCCUGUGCUUGCGCGCUCAGGUUAAGUCACUUGUCUAUUUUCUGUCAAAUGUGAUGUUUUAUUGUUCCAUAUGGUCACUGUGUAUUACUUUGUUUUUAGGGAAAUAUAGUGAAUGUCUCGCUUGUGAUGGAUCCUGUAAAAGCUGUUUUGGCCCACAAGCGCUGGAUUGUUCUUCUUGUUUCAAAGGCCUGCCUGGACACCAGUGAUAACUGAAUCAGCUGUGCUAAAGGCAGCUAUAAACUCUUUCUCCACCAGGGGAGGUGCUGGUCAAAUUGCCCAGAAGGCUUCUUUGAGACAGCAGAGGAGUCGUGUGAAGCCUGUGACAGCUCCUGUUUGUCAUGUGACGGGAUCUAGUCCCAGUGUCUGUCCUGUGCUGAUGGACACUACUUGGAGAGUGGUGUGUGUGGACUCAACUGUUCACUGCAGACAUACCCUGCAGACGAUGGUACCUGCCGACGCUGUUCUCCCCACUGUGACGUCUGCUCCGACGAGAGGACCGGUUUCAGUGAGUCAUCGGCCGAGUGGGCAGCUUUUUGAUUUGGAGUGGAUUCCAUUUUUAAUGAAUUGUAAGACUUUGCAUCACACCUGGAAAUCUUAUACCACACCUCUUCAAUAUCAUUUCAGAAUGCAGCUUCCUUAACUGAUUCUGAACGGUGUGUGUAAGGCAAGUUGUCCCCCGGGGUACUAUGAGGACAUGGACGAGGGCCGCUGUGGCCAGUGCCACCCGACAUGUGGCAGUUGUUCGGGGCCCCUGGCAGAUGACUGCGACACCUGCUUGACAUUUAGCCCCAAACUUUAUAAGGGAACAUGCUCCAACGACUGCCCCACUGGUACCUACUAUGAAACGGAAGCACUGGAAUGUCAAGAGUGCCACCAGACCUGUAUGAGCUGCUCCGGCCCAGACGCCAACCAGUGCACCCAGUGCGAGAAGGGCUUUGUGCUGAAUCCAAACACGUUGUUAUGUGGCGUGACAGGCGACACCAACUGCCCACAAAGGACCUACCUACAUGACGACUGCUUCACCUGCAUGCGUUGCCAUCAGCACUGUUACUCCUGUGAAGGGCCAGGCAACGACGAGUGCCAGACCUGUGCCGUCCCCAGAUACCUCCAUAGUGAGCAUGUUCCCACCAUUUCUCACUGCUUACUCGAGCGGGUGUGGGGUUGAACAUGAACGGAAAUCAGCAGAGGAAACUGGCCCAUAACGAUGGCUCUCCUGAGAUUAUUUAACAGUUUAAGUUUAGGGUGAAAUGAUCGCCUGGGUGUGGAACUUUGGGUUUAUUUUGCAGGCAGCACUUGUGUGAGCGAGUGUCCAGCUGGCACAUACGACUCAGAGCAGGAUGCCGACGGAGCCGAGCUCGGCCUCUGUGUGCCUUGUGAUCACGCCUGUUCCACCUGCUCGGAGGCAUCCCCCAAAGAUUGCCUCACUUGCUCUCCAGGAUACCUGCUUCAUCUCCUUCAACUCUGUGUCCCACAUUGUCCCACAAGGUACAACGUUAAAGCCUCCAUUUUAUUUAGUUUGUGAUUAAACAAAAUGGCCUGUUGACCUGUGGGUGACCCUCCAAUCAGAGGGUCGUCGGUUCGAUCCCAGGCUCUGCUAACCCACAUGUCGAUGUGUUCUUGGGCAAGACACUCAAUCCAACAUUGCUCCUGUAGCUGCGAAUGGUAGUUACUGAUGUGCAGGUGUC
This is a non-coding RNA of Gasterosteus aculeatus aculeatus (three-spined stickleback), 4079 nucleotides long. NCBI's taxonomy places the organism in Eukaryota, Metazoa, Chordata, Actinopteri, Perciformes, Gasterosteidae. The record is from RefSeq and is a predicted model, not a curated record.